Molecule: long non-coding RNA, 657 nt
Organism: Toxorhynchites rutilus septentrionalis
Lineage: Eukaryota; Metazoa; Arthropoda; Insecta; Diptera; Culicidae
Exons: 4
Source: RefSeq, a predicted model, not a curated record
ACUUCGUAAACACCUUGAUCUGCAUGUCUUGUCAGUGGGCUUUGUCAUUAGUCAUUUUGUUUCAACAGUGCUAGGGUUCAGACUGUAAUCGCGACUUAUGGCGCAAAAAGCGAAUUGGAAGCGAAAGUGAAAGAAAUAUUUUUGCGGAGAAAAUUUAACAAAUACUGCAGGUUCAGAUAUCCAGGGAGAUUGAAAUCCUGUUCCAGAGAAAAAAGGACAGCGUUGCCUUUUCUUCACGGCCAUUUUGAGCGCGUUUUUUCAGAUUGAAUAUCGAUUGGAACCGAAGAAGCCUAAUUGGGAAAAAUUCGCGAUGUCAGAAACACCUUCGACAAAAAAUCAAGAAAAAUCCAAAAUCAGUCCGGCUUGGGAGUUCUUUAAAAAAAUUGAGGGGAACAAAGUACAAUGUAAAUUAUGUUUGCAUAUUCUAAGUUUUUGCCGCAACACGAGCAACAUGCUCAAUCAUUUGACAUUCAAGCAUAAAAAUUUGGCCUUCUCCACUGUUAAUGAAAGACCGGCCCCGGUUCUAAAUCAGGGACGAAAAAGAACAGCAUCACAAGAAUCUAGAAUUGAUACUACUCCCAAAAUGGGUCCACGGCAACAAACUAUUACAUCGGCUUUCGAUCGUCCUUUUUCAUACGGAGCUGGCGGUACCAAAGU